UCCCCAUUGGAGAAGACGACAUCAGCCCACCAGAAAGGCCUAGGACAUCAAAAGAAUCCAGAUCGCCAUCAUACUUUGUGAAAAUCGACAUAACUUGGCUUGAAGUUGUGUGGGUGGCGGAAAACAUUGUACUUUAAUAAUGGAUAUGGGAAAUAGAUGACACAAUCCUAUAAACCAACAACUACAUAUGUGGAAAUCUUAUUGUUUGGCUCACUUAGAGCCGGUUUCCGAGCUCGGGAUUUAAAUGUCACCACCUCGUUUUUGGGACGACCUCUAGCUCAAUGCCCAUUUUAUGAGCUAUCUAUUUCAGUUGGAAACAUUAAAAUUAUAUCAAAGCAGAACAUAUAUCUUGUAGAAAUUGUAGUGACGCUUAAUCAAAUAGGUAAUCAUUAAUCAAAUACUUAUUAUAAUUCAGUUCAACAAUCGUUUGGUCUUAUUACUAUCAAUUACCAUACAAAAUAUUGAAAUCUUAGAUAUGAUUUUGAAAUAACAAUGCAUCAUACAAACAAAAGAAAAAAAAAACAAAGAACCAUGCUUAAUUUUUCAAGGAUCACAAAGACAUUUCUAUGAACAAAAGAAAUUCAAAAUUGCAAUUAAAAUGGAGUGAGCUACAUGCAGCAAAAGGCCUACGUACUAUUUAUUAUUGGGUGGAUAGAGUUCAUUUUCAAACAAGGUGAAUUGUGUUCAUUAACAUCACAUAAAUGAUCAACAUUAUAAUGAAUGCACAUAUCAACAUCAAUAUACAUUUUAUCAAACCUUGUUACACGACCGCUGACAAAUGUAUUUCAGAAAAUCGGUCUUCGGUUUGAAGUAGUACUGUAUUAAAUCACUCUCCAGUCUGGGUACAAAUUUGCAAAUGAAUGUAAAUAGAGGUAACAGGUGGUACAUGAGUAUUUUUAAAUGGUUUAAAUUUGCAAAUGAAUGUAAAUUGGUAUCAGUGGUACAUGAAUAUUCUUCAAUGGUGUUUACUGGAAUGAGAAUAUGACUGUUCCUUGGCAGCCGGAG
Molecule: long non-coding RNA, 1005 nt
Organism: Nilaparvata lugens (brown planthopper)
Lineage: Eukaryota; Metazoa; Arthropoda; Insecta; Hemiptera; Delphacidae
Exons: 3
Source: RefSeq, a predicted model, not a curated record